UUCAUACUUCAUAUGAGAGUUUCACGCUUCAUGUAAGAGACAUCAGCAUUCCUUACUCUCCAGAUGCAGCAGACAAGGUUCGCAGCAAGCUCCUUUUUCCUUCCAGAUUCAAAGACUCCAUUAAAGAUAACCACCAUCUCCAUGGCUCCAUUCCUACAAGAUCCCAUGCGCCAACCACGCUUUGACAUCCCCACAGGCAAUGGUGUACCGAUUCUUCCAUAGUAUCACAAAUCAGACAGGUUCCAAAACUGGAACACUACUUCAUAUCCUGAAGCCACCGAAUAUUCUCCAGAUUUCUCCUUUUAGCAGAAGAAGAAUCCAACUCCGGCAGCUACAGCAGGGAGAGAUGCAUAAAUCUUUCGCAUGGCCAUUGGUGUAACGAUAGAUUGAUAGGAAGGAAUAAGAGCCUUGUGAUGAGUAUAUAUUUAUAUAUGUAUAUAUAUGAGUCCAGAGAGAAUAUUAAGAAGAUCAGAUACUUUGCUAGUGAAAGGAAGCAAUCAAUGGUUUAUAUAGGGACCUAACGGGUAAAAAAAAAAGGAAAAAAAAGGAGAUAGCAUGGUGUUUUAUCUUAUUUUAAUUUAAUCCAAUCAAAACAGUCUAAUAGAUUUGUUCCAAAAACAAAUAAAAGAUUUGUUCUGUUUUA
Molecule: long non-coding RNA, 643 nt
Organism: Arachis duranensis
Lineage: Eukaryota; Viridiplantae; Streptophyta; Magnoliopsida; Fabales; Fabaceae
Exons: 3
Source: RefSeq, a predicted model, not a curated record